This is a long non-coding RNA of Synchiropus splendidus (mandarinfish), 2878 nucleotides long. RefSeq lists it as uncharacterized. NCBI's taxonomy places the organism in Eukaryota, Metazoa, Chordata, Actinopteri, Syngnathiformes, Callionymidae. The record is from RefSeq and is a predicted model, not a curated record. The transcript is spliced from 3 exons.
CAUGGCGUGUUCGGAGACACAACAGAGUAUUUCAUUCAUACAGUAUUGCCAAGUCAAGUCAGUAAGUACCUUCAACUUCGGGCUAAACACGAAAUUUCUACGUGGAAAGUUGCACACAGCAAUAAAACACGCAGGAGGAACCGCCGUCAACUGUUGACUAGCAUCGUGUUAGGGUGGAGGCGAUUGGACUCAGGUGGCGAUGACGUCAGGGAUGUCACGUACAGGGCGAUGUCAGCAUGCUAAAGGCUAGUUUUACUAGCAUACGAGCCGAUGACUCGCAGGUAAUUUAUACCUCUACUAUUGUCAAGGCACCGGAACCGACUGUUCAACACUUAUGUCCACUGGUCCCCGGUUGUGUGUGUGUGUGUGUGUGUGUGCGUGCGUGCGUGUGGGUGUUGGCUUAUUCCCUUUCAGCGUCUAACAUGUUUCAUUGUCGCCGUUUUAAUAUGUGGCAACAAUUUCAGAUUAGAAGCAGUUCGACCUCAGUUCAACUUACUUAAGUUCCAUGGCUCGAUUUAGACUGAAGACUGUAGUCAUUCAGGAGUUUAAACAUACGUAUGUUUGCGUAAUUGAGCAUUCAUUUAGCGCAAUCCUGAACCACACCACUAGAGACUGCUGUGAGAAGUCAGACGUCAGUUGACUCCAGUGUUGGUCAAUCUCCUGAAUAUGACUUCAGUUGUGAAAUCUUGGACGAUCGGUUAGAAUUACAUCAGAGCGAAAUUAGGUCAGGAGUGAGAUGAGUUACCAGUCACCUGAAACACAUUUCUUCACGCAGAAAUGAGUAGAAAGUAGUCAAGUCAAGCUCCCACGCGACCUGCCCUCAGUCUGUCACCAGAAGACUUUGUUUCCGACAUCCUCACCUCGCUGUUGAGCUUCAAAUAGGCUUGUGGUCUUGUGUAAAAGGGAAGUGGGCGAAAGCUAAAUGUCACAAUGGCCGCUUCCUCUUUUAGCUACAAUGGUUUAAAUACUUUUCAAGUGUGCUUUAUGAACAGCUGAAGAAUUCAGGGGUCUCCGGUGAAGCCCAUUGUAAUUCAUUGUUCAAGCAAUGUGUUGUUUUUCCAGUCAGUGAUAAUCACUACAAGUGGAUUUGAAAAAGCAUCCAAGAGCUCAAGGGUGAAUUUAAAAGGUCCUGACAUUUGAGUUGGGGCUUCUCCGUGAAUGAGAGGUUUUCACGUGUGUGUGAUGGCCCCUGGCUUGUGUGUGAUAGUUCCUCAUGCGUAUCAGAGACUUAUAUAUGUGAGUGAGUGGUCUUUAAGUGUGAAAACCUCUGCAUGCAUUUGAGGCCCGAAUACAAGAUAUUGUGUCCUUGAAUAUGUGUGGCGUCACAGUAUGGUUUCUUCCGUGUGUGUGUGUGAGAGGUUUUCACGUGUGUAUGUUGGGGCUGUCUCAUAUUUGCCAGAGGUUUUCACACCUUGUUUGUGAGUGGUUUAGUAAGUGUGUUGAUGGAUUUAAAUGUGGCGGCAAAAGGUUUUUGACUUAUCAGUUUGGUCCAGAGCUGUGUGCGCGUGAGGGUUCUCGCAUCGGUGUGAGAGGUGCUCUCUCCCUCCAAACUCAUAUGUGCAUCAGCUAUUUGGGGUUUAUACCCAGGGUUCUCCCCAGCACUUUAGCAGCAUAGGGGGUCCAUACAUUGGGAUUUUCCCUGCGUCGGGGUGAAAUCCCCGCGUUUUCAGCCGUUUUCACAUGAAACGCUACCACCGCCUGUCAAGUAGGACUCCGCCUUUUAAGGUAGACCAUGAAGGAAGACCAUGAAAAAAUGUACAAGGUGCUCCGUCGUCCGUCCAUCCAUCCGUUCCCCUCAAACGCCAACACUCGAAAUAUGAGCAAUGUUUCCCUCAGUGCAUGAGAUGUUCUCAUGUAUGGCUUCAUUCCAUGUAGGGAAUCCCCUCCUCUCAGUCAAGCUUGAUGCCAAGUUCCUUUUGAUGUUCUGAAGGAAAAAAAUGGCAGGACAUCCUCGACAGGAAGCCUCCAAAAAUAACAAGCACCAACAACAAGCCUACAUUAAGUAAAGGGUCUCCACGGCACUCCUCAGCGAGGUGUUUACAGUCUAACUUCCCUGGCUUUUUGGGAAUUCCCUCCUUGGGAGCGGGAAAUUCCCAUUCUUUUAGGAUCCACUCGGGAUUAAAGGCAGAAUUCAUCCCACAUUUGAUGUCUCGGGUGUUAAAGUGACACUCAGACGUGACAUUAAAUGAAACCUUUCUGGGGGGUUAUUUAAAAUGAAGAAGUUCCCAGACGCUCAAACAGGGACUUGUGACCAUUUUGUUCCACUCUUGUGUCGGUGGGCUCAUUUAUGCAUGUGUGAGGAAAUAGAGUCACCUGCGAGUCCUCAAGAAGGUGGCUGCGUGGGUAUGUGAUGUCUAGGGGGAGCCCCUCGUGGGUUCAAGGGUUUACAUUGUUUCUUGAAGCGCUUCUGUCCUGCAUUUACAACUGACUUGACGACUACGCAGUGGUCAGCCACAAAUGUUCCCCAGUACGGAUAAAAUAUGACUCUUAGAUGCAAUGUCAGAUUUUUAAAUGCCAUUUUUUAGACUAGAAACUGAAAUGACAUUAAUGUUCAAUGAGACACUGUUUCAGUCUUUGCUUUAUUGUAUUGAAUCUGCUGCACAGUUGGCAUGACCUUGACAAAUUGCAACUUUGCGUUCCGUUGACUGGUAAAACGAGAGUUUACAGAGUUUACUACUACUUCUACUGAAUGGAGCGAGAGAUGACAUUGUCUCGAGAUGAGGUUACUUCAAUCAGUGCAAGUUAUUUGGCUCACACUAAACUGGCUGUGUCGAGUGUCUUUCAUCAUCAAGUCAUUGGUGCACAUGAAUGUCUUUCAGUUAACAAGCGAGUUAUAGACUUGCAAGGUGCAACGUCAAUGUAAGUCAGUAGUGUUAGU